UUUUAACGGAGAGUUUGAUCCUGGCUCAGGACGAACGCUGGCGGCGUGCCUAAUACAUGCAAGUCGAGCGGACAGAAGGGAGCUUGCUCCCGGACGUUAGCGGCGGACGGGUGAGUAACACGUAGGUAACCUGCCCCUUAGACUGGGAUAACUCCGGGAAACCGGAGCUAAUACGGGAUAAUAAAGAGAAUCACCUGAUU
This is a ribosomal RNA of 200 nucleotides. It matches the Rfam family "Bacterial small subunit ribosomal RNA", at positions 1 to 195 of the family's 1533-position model.